RNAcentral lists this ribosomal RNA (752 nucleotides) under uncultured marine bacterium. Its description in RNAcentral is "bacterial SSU rRNA". It matches the Rfam family "Bacterial small subunit ribosomal RNA", at positions 94 to 883 of the family's 1533-position model. The record is from RNAcentral.
AGUGGCAGACGGGUGAGUAACAUGUGGGUAUCUACCCUUUGGCCUGGAAUAACACGAGGAAACUUGUGCUAAUACUGGAUAAGUCUUUACGGAGAAAGCUUUAUGCACCAUUGGAUGAGCCUGCACUUGAUUAGUUUGUUGGUGGGGUAAUGGCCUACCAAGACUGUGAUCAAUAGCUGAUUUGAGAGGAUGAUCAGCCACAUUGGGACUGAGACGCGGCCCAAACUCCUACGGGAGGCAGCAGUGGGGAAUCUUACACAAUGGAGGAAACUCUGAUGCAGCGAUGCGGCGUGAGUGAAGAAGGCCCUUGGGUUGUAAAGCUCUUUCGUCGGGGAAGAAAAUGACUGUACCCGAAUAAGAAGGUCCGGCUAACUUCGUGCCAGCAGCCGCGGUAAUACGAAGGGACCUAGCGUAGUUCGGAAUUACUGGGCUUAAAGAGUUCGUAGGUGGUUGAAAAAGUUGGUGGUGAAAUCCCAGAGCUUAACUCUGGAACUGCCAUCAAAACUUUUCAGCUAGAGUAUGAUAGAGGAAAGCAGAAUUUCUAGUGUAGAGGUGAAAUUCGUAGAUAUUAGAAAGAAUACCAAUUGCGAAGGCAGCUUUCUGGAUCAUUACUGACACUGAGGAACGAAAGCAUGGGUAGCGAAGAGGAUUAGAUACCCUCGUAGUCCAUGCCGUAAACGAUGUGUGUUAGACGUUGGAAAUUUAUUUUCAGUGUCGCAGCGAAAGCGAUAAACACACCGCCUGGGGAGUAC